UACGUAGGUGUCGAGCGUUGUCCGGAUUUAUUGGGCGUAAAGAGCCCGCAGGCGGCUUGGCAAGUUUGAGGUGAAAUCUCCCGGCUUAACUGGGAGGGGGCCUCGAAAACUGCCAGGCUUGAGGCAUGGAGAGGGAUGCGGAAUUCCCGGUGUAGUGGUGAAAUGCGUAGAUAUCGGGAAGAACACCCGUGGCGAAGGCGGCACUCUGGGACGGUACUGACGCUGAGACGCGAAAGCGUGGGGAGCGAACAGG
Molecule: ribosomal RNA, 253 nt
Filed under: uncultured bacterium
Lineage: Bacteria
Description: partial 16S ribosomal RNA
Rfam family: Bacterial small subunit ribosomal RNA
Source: RNAcentral